This 67-nucleotide transfer RNA is filed under the name Myadestes myadestinus (kamao). RNAcentral describes it as "tRNA-Cys". The record is from RNAcentral. Lineage: Eukaryota; Metazoa; Chordata; Aves; Passeriformes; Turdidae.
GGCUCUGUAGUGAAGUUCAUAGUGAGUUGCAAGCUCAUUGAUGUGUACUGAUUGUACGCCGGAGUCU